AGUGCCGAGACACGAAUAACAAGUUAUGAUUAUUUUUAAAGAGACCACAAGGCGUCGUGGAUAUUUUUUCGCGCAAUGAUCACUUUCGUUCUUUGAACCUAACAUAUAUACAUAUCUUAUUGUAUAUAUCGCAAAAUAAUCAUAAUAUGGACAUUAGCUUAUUAAGAUGUGGUCAAACAAGCGAUAUGUAAAUACCGGAUAUAUUGAGCUCCAGAUACAGCUCGGUCGGUUCGGACAUCGGUAAGGUGCUAGUUAAUGCUCCACAGCGGAUGAAUUUUCACAUACUAAGAUUGCCAGAAUUUUCUGUGUUUAAAGUCAUAUAAUGACCAUGUCUCAGUCAAGAUGUCAGGGCCCCGCUCCAAAUUCCUGCUGUGGCUACCUGUCUUCGCUCAGUACAUAAAAACGGAGAGGCAAUCGCCCGUCACGUAAAUCUUAGCAAGUACAACAGAAUCGGUGAUCAGAGUUCGAUGCCUGGACUUUGCACGCUUUGCACGCGCUGUCAACGGAUCAAGGUGCAAUGUAGCAGCGAGCAGUAUUGUUUGCCAUUUACUUUAUGUUGUAAUUACUGAUAAUCGAUUUUUAAUAAAUUAGUUCUAUAUAUUUUAAUGUUCUUUGAACUUGUGUUUGUAAAUUCGAAAUAUUUGUUUAGCGUUUG
This is a long non-coding RNA of Hyposmocoma kahamanoa, 655 nucleotides long. RefSeq lists it as uncharacterized. Lineage: Eukaryota; Metazoa; Arthropoda; Insecta; Lepidoptera; Cosmopterigidae. The record is from RefSeq and is a predicted model, not a curated record. The transcript has 5 exons.